Long non-coding RNA from Equus caballus (horse), 3474 nucleotides. NCBI's taxonomy places the organism in Eukaryota, Metazoa, Chordata, Mammalia, Perissodactyla, Equidae. The record is from Ensembl.
CCACACUAGAGUGGCCUUCCUGCCCCUCCUCUGCAUUCCUCGGCACUGGAAAAGGGCUGGCAGGUGGCAGAAGAUGCUGCAAAGGGAGGAGGCACAGGCUGCCCCGGGCAUUAACAUGAUUUAGGAGAUACGCAGGUCACCGUCUCCUGACUGAAAGCCGUCCUAGAGUGAAGGUUUGCAGCUAUUUCUGGGCAAAACCGUGUGAUGAGAUGAAAUAGCUCAACUGCUGACCAUUAAGUCAGAGAGGCCGUGGCCCUCGUAAAUCUCAUUCUCUCCGGCCCUCUCUGUGCCGCAUGGGAGCUCAGCCCAGCCAGUGCCAGCUGCCUCGUGGGGUCCUUGUCUGUCCUGGCAGUGCCUCUGAGGACCCGGCGGGCUUUGGUGCCAAGCACUGUGGCUGCACUUGAAAGCCGCCUUGCAUGUUGACUGUUUUCCUGGGUGACCUAGAAUUCCUCCGAGUCUGUACCAGCUCAAACCCUCCACAGCUCACGUGGGACAAGCUGGCUUUGCCGCCUACAUAUCUGACCACUUUAGACAGGUAAGUUUGCCUUCCUGAAUCUUAAUUUCCUCAUUUUAAAAUGUCAGCAAUGAUAGCUCCCUGGCAAGGUUGUUUGUGAGGGUGCAAUGAAAUGAUAAACACAGAGUGCAGAGUGCAUCCUGGUACAAAACAUGCCUUGUGUCCUUUUCUUACAAAGCCGGGCUCAAUUCCGUCCCCUCUUCCUGGGGUGUCCUUCCCCUUUUGUCUUCCUGGGCAAUUCCUACCCAUCCUCCAGGGCCUCCUCCCUAGGGAGCCUUCUUGACUCACCUGAGCACAGCUGAUCUCCUGCUUCCUGCUGUGACUGCACUUGAGACGCUUUGGUAUGGUGGCUUCAAGAUUCAGAGGCGAGGUGACUCUGAAGAAUGGAAAUGGUGGGUUUGCUUUGUGUUUGUGGAACUAGGAAAGGAAGAUGGGAGAUCGAGAAGGUAGUGGUUAGGGGCAAUCUCAAAUGGAGGGAUUUGGGAUUAGGGGAGAUGGGAUUAUUGGAGUCGGGGGAGUAGCUCUGCUCCCUGGCUAGCAGAUGGGAGGAAGAUCCUGCCUGGUCCCUCCAGGACAGUAGGCCUGCAAUUCCACUGGUGGCCACGAGGUGUCAGUGGUGUCCCUGGGGCGGCUGGGUUGAGAGAGGGAGCUGGUAAAACAGAAAGCACUGCUUUUUGAAAAAUUCAGCAUUUGUCCAAUCCCAUAUUAAUGAGGUUAGAGCUGCAGCUCUUGCUUCUCCUGCCCUGCCACAGCUUAUGAUGAUAUUCACUGGUCCCCAUUCUCCCAGUAACCUACAUUGGGGACUGGGCAGGGCCCUCAUGCUGGCUGUGUCCACAGCCCUUUCUCCUGCAGUCAGGAAAGCCCAGAGUGUUGCAAACGAGUGAAAGUGACAAUGCUUGAAUCUGCCCUAAUUUUUUUUUAAAAGUUCAAUUAUUCACAGACUUUGGUACUUUAACACGAGUAAUAUGAUACCAAUGACAUACUUCAAGAUGGUGUGUGGUGACAUUGUAGGUAAGAAACACUGAGCUAGAAAUGCUGGGCAGGUUGCCCUCCUGGGACAGCAAAACUUCCAGCCAGGGGGCCGUUGCUGUCGGGCUUUUCCUGGUUAUCUUUUCAGAGAGGCCGCCGAACAGAGUGAUCAAGAGCACGGCUCUGGAGCCAGGCUGCCUGGGAGCAAGGCUUUCUCUUCCACUCGCCAGCUCUGAGAUCUUAGUUAUGGGUCCUUCUUGCUGUGGCAUGUGGGACGCCACCUCAACGUGGCCUGACGAGUGGUGCCAUGUCCGCACCCAGGAUUCGAGCCAGCAAAACCCGGGCCGCCGAGGCAGAACGUGUGAACUGAACCACUCGGCCAUGGGGCCGGCCCCUUAAUAUUCUUAAUAACAUAGGAAGAAGGGACCCCGCAUUUUCAUUUUGCGCUGGGCCAACAAAUAACGGAGCAGUUCCUGCAAGCAGAUUCCUCUGGUGCAGAAGCCCCUUGCCUUCCUCCUCGUCUGCUCACACUGGUUCCCUUCUCUCAUCCCAGGCGGACCCCCCACCCGGGAGCUUUCCCACAGACUGAGCCUUUGUUUUCCUCCAACAUUUUCAUGAAAAAGUUCAAGCAUAUAGCGAAGUAGAAAGAAUCGUAAACACCUGUACACCUGCCACCUAGGUUCUGCCGUGAAUAUUUCCCGUACCUUCUGCCUUGUGUGUCUAUGGCGAGGCUGUUGCUGUCUUACCUACCCUCAUCCUGGACCCUGUCCUCACCUACUGGCCUCUCGUCUCUUGCUGACGGCUCUAAAGCUUCCAGCCCCGCUGUCUGGACCCAGAAAGGCCUCCCGGGCUGGGGUGGGACGGCGGCCUGCAGGAAGGGGCUCUGCGGCUGCUGGAGGUUCUGGAGAACCUGCUGGGGAAAGGCUGGGACCCAAGUCCCGCCAGACCUGUGGAACCAGGUGCAGAACAGACUAGGAUGUGUUCCAGAAGAGCAAGGAAGGUGCCAUUCUGGAGUGCGUGGACUGAGAUUCCUACUCGUGACCAUAGUCCCUGUUGGUUCCUUUCAUAGUUUCUUAUGCCUCACACAGUCUUCCAAGCGUUUCUCACAAACCUGGUCUGCUGGGCAGACCCCGGUAGCCCUGGGAGGGAGGAGGGAAGAGAUUUUUCUUUCCUCUUCACAGCUGGGGAAACUGAGCCUCAGAAAUUCCUCGCUGACCUGCCCAAGGUCCCGGGGCUCAAAGAGGCGAUCUGGGAACCACACCCAGGUCCUCCGACCCUAAGACCAGGCCUCUUUCUUUUGAUCUCGUCGGGGGAGGGCAACAGUGUCACAUUCCCCUGGGUAACUUGAGAGAAAAAGAAAAAAAACUUUCUCUCUAGGAAAAAAGAGGGUGUCUGGGCUGUGAUUUACCUCUGGGAGCACUUGGGCCAGGAGCGAUCACAUUUCAAAGGGUUAGAACUCAUUUCUUUACUUUUCCAGCUUGGGCCCAGAGCUCAGAACCGGGUGGGCUUCUCCAGGCCCCUCCCAGCAUGCCCACCCCCUCCCAAGUGCCACAGGCAGGUGACACCUGUAUUAUUGCUAAGGGUUAAAAAGCCCCCGAAUCAAUAAAACCCAUUAAUGAGUGUUGGUACCUCGAAGGCUACAGAUAAACCCCUUCUACUCGGUAAGUUCAAUCCCAUAAAACAGCUCUCCUCUUUCGAUCCUGGCAUUCAUUUGAUAGAAAAUGUGCAGAAAUUUUUAAAAGGUGACUUACUAAUUGCCUGUAAAAUAAAAGGCAGAUGGAAGCUUUAUUACAGUUGAAGGAAGUCGGGAAUAUUAAGGUAAAAUGUCAAAUAACAAUUGAUUUUCCUCAGACAUAAAGGGGCGAUUUAUGGCUUCCUAGUUACUACAAAUGAGAAAUUAUUUGAAGUUUUAAAAAGUAUGAGGCGAAAUAAAGAUUAAAUAGAAGAUGAAAUCAUAGGGAUUUCUCUGGGAGGUGACUUCAGUGCCCCUG